GUGCAGCAGUCGAGAAUAGUCUACAAUGGACGAAAGUCUGAUAGUGCGACGCCGUGUGUGCGAUUAAUUCCUUCGGGAUGUAAAGCACUUUUCUAUGAGAUAAAAGCUCUUUAGGUUAAUAGCUUAUUGAGACGGAUAUUAUUAUAGGAAUAAGCUCCGGCUAACUCCGUGCCAGCAGCCGCGGUAAUACGGAAGGAGCGAGCGUUGUCCGGAUUUACUAGGCGUAAAGGGCUAGUAGGCGACUAAUUAAGUUAUAUGUUAAAUCCCACGGCUCAACUGUGGUCCUGCAUGUAGUACUGGUUAGAUAGAGUACUGUAGAGGAAGGCAGAAUUCCUGGAGUAGCGGUGGAAUGCGCAGAUAUCAGGAAGAAUACCAAAAGCGAAGGCAGCCUUCUGGGCAGUUACUGACGCUGAAUAGCGAAGGUGUGGGUAGCGAACAGGAUUAGAUACCCGGGUA
This 456-nucleotide ribosomal RNA is filed under the name uncultured microorganism. Its description in RNAcentral is "bacterial SSU rRNA". It matches the Rfam family "Bacterial small subunit ribosomal RNA", at positions 346 to 792 of the family's 1533-position model. The record is from RNAcentral.